GUCGAGCGGUAGAGAGAAGCUUGCUUCUCUUGAGAGCGGCGGACGGGUGAGUAAUACCUAGGAAUCUGCCUGAUAGUGGGGGAUAACGUUCGGAAACGGACGCUAAUACCGCAUACGUCCUACGGGAGAAAGCAGGGGACCUUCGGGCCUUGCGCUAUCAGAUGAGCCUAGGUCGGAUUAGCUAGUUGGUGAGGUAAUGGCUCACCAAGGCUACGAUCCGUAACUGGUCUGAGAGGAUGAUCAGUCACACUGGAACUGAGACACGGUCCAGACUCCUACGGGAGGCAGCAGUGGGGAAUAUUGGACAAUGGGCGAAAGCCUGAUCCAGCCAUGCCGCGUGUGUGAAGAAGGUCUUCGGAUUGUAAAGCACUUUAAGUUGGGAGGAAGGGCAGUUACCUAAUACGUGAYUGUCUUGACGUUACCGACAGAAUAAGCACCGGCUAACUCUGUGCCAGCAGCCGCGGUAAUACAGAGGGUGCAAGCGUUAAUCGGAAUUACUGGGCGUAAAGCGCGCGUAGGUGGUUUGUUAAGUUGAAUGUGAAAUCCCCGGGCUCAACCUGGGAACUGCAUCCAAAACUGGCAAGCUAGAGUAUGGUAGAGGGUAGUGGA
RNAcentral lists this ribosomal RNA (609 nucleotides) under Pseudomonas psychrophila. Its description in RNAcentral is "bacterial SSU rRNA". Lineage: Bacteria; Pseudomonadati; Pseudomonadota; Gammaproteobacteria; Pseudomonadales; Pseudomonadaceae. The record is from RNAcentral.